Non-coding RNA from Blautia sp. CAG:52, 53 nucleotides. The record is from Rfam. Lineage: Bacteria; Bacillati; Bacillota; Clostridia; Lachnospirales; Lachnospiraceae.
GAAAGGUCAUGGAGACAUGGCUGGAUGCUUCACAUACCGGCAUCCCAAUUAGG